AGUGAACGCUGGCGGUAGGCCUAACACAUGCAAGUCGAACGGCAGCACAGUAAGAGCUUGCUCUUACGGGUGGCGAGUGGCGGACGGGUGAGGAAUACAUCGGAAUCUACUUUUUCGUGGGGGAUAACGUAGGGAAACUUACGCUAAUACCGCAUACGACCUACGGGUGAAAGCAGGGGAUCUUCGGACCUUGCGCGAUUGAAUGAGCCGAUGUCGGAUUAGCUAGUUGGCGGGGUAAAGGCCCACCAAGGCGACGAUCCGUAGCUGGUCUGAGAGGAUGAUCAGCCACACUGGAACUGAGACACGGUCCAGACUCCUACGGGAGGCAGCAGUGGGGAAUAUUGGACAAUGGGCGCAAGCCUGAUCCAGCCAUACCGCGUGGGUGGAGAAGGCCUUCGGGUUGUAAAGCCCUUUUGUUGGGAAAGAAAAGCAGCAGGUUAAUACCCCGCUGUUCUGACGGUACCCAAAGAAUAGGCACCGGCUAACUUCGUG
RNAcentral lists this ribosomal RNA (492 nucleotides) under uncultured bacterium. RNAcentral describes it as "partial 16S ribosomal RNA". It matches the Rfam family "Bacterial small subunit ribosomal RNA", at positions 29 to 507 of the family's 1533-position model. The record is from RNAcentral.